AUUGAACGCUGGCGGCAGGCCUAACACAUGCAAGUCGAGCGGAGCGGCGGACGGGUGAGUAAUGCCUAGGAAUCUGCCUGGUAGUGGGGGAUAACGUCCGGAAACGGGCGCUAAUACCGCACACUAUCAGAUGAGCCUCGGUCGGAUUAGCUAGUUGGUGGGGUAAAGGCCUACCAAGGCGAUGAUCAGUAACUGGUCUGAGGGGAUGAUCAGUCACACUGGAACUGGGACACGGUCCAGACUCCUACGGGAGGCAGCGGUGGGGAAUAUUGGAAAAUGGGCGAAAGCCUGAUCCAGCCAGGCCGGGGGUGUGAAGAGGGUGUUCGGAUUGUAAAGCACUUUAAGUUGGGAGGCGUUACCAGCAGAAUAAGCACCGGCUAACUUCGUGCCAGCAGCCGCGGUAAUAC
Molecule: ribosomal RNA, 407 nt
Filed under: uncultured bacterium
Lineage: Bacteria
Description: partial 16S ribosomal RNA
Rfam family: Bacterial small subunit ribosomal RNA
Source: RNAcentral